CCUACGGGCGGCAGCAGAGGGGAAUAUUGCACAAUGGGCGCAAGCCUGAUGCAGCCAUGCCGCGUGUGUGAAGAAGGCCUUCGGGUUGUAAAGCACUUUCAGCGGGGAGGAAGGCGGUGAGGUUAAUAACCUCAUCGAUUGACGUUACCCGCAGAAGAAGCACCGGCUAACUCCGUGCCAGCAGCCGCGGUAAUACGGAGGGUGCAAGCGUUAAUCGGAAUUACUGGGCGUAAAGCGCACGCAGGCGGUCUGUCAAGUCGGAUGUGAAAUCCCCGGGCUCAACCUGGGAACUGCAUUCGAAACUGGCAGGCUAGAGUCUUGUAGAGGGGGGUAGAAUUCCAGGUGUAGCGGUGAAAUGCGUAGAGAUCUGGAGGAAUACCGGAGGCGAAGGCGGCCCCCUGGACAAAGACUGACGCUCAGGUGCGAAAGCGUGGGGAGCAAACAGGAUUAGAUACCCUUGUAGUC
This 465-nucleotide ribosomal RNA is filed under the name uncultured Klebsiella sp. Its description in RNAcentral is "bacterial SSU rRNA". It matches the Rfam family "Bacterial small subunit ribosomal RNA", at positions 338 to 795 of the family's 1533-position model. The record is from RNAcentral. Lineage: Bacteria; Pseudomonadati; Pseudomonadota; Gammaproteobacteria; Enterobacterales; Enterobacteriaceae.